CUACGGGAGGCAGCAGUGGGGAAUAUUGCACAAUGGGGGGAACCCUGAUGCAGCCAUGCCGCGUGAAUGAAGAAGGCCUUCGGGUUGUAAAGUUCUUUCGGUGAUGAGGAAGGUGUUUUGUUUAAUAGACAAAGCAAUUGACGUUAGUCACAGAAGAAGCACCGGCUAACUCCGUGCCAGCAGCCGCGGUAAUACGGAGGGUGCGAGCGUUAAUCGGAAUAACUGGGCGUAAAGGGCACGCAGGCGGAUUGUUAAGUGAGAUGUGAAAGCCCCGAGCUUAACUUGGGAAUUGCAUUUCAGACUGGCUAUCUAGAGUAUUUUAGGGAGGGGUAGAAUUCCACGUGUAGCGGUGAAAUGCGUAGAGAUGUGGAGGAAUACCGAAGGCGAAGGCAGCCCCUUGGGAAUAUACUGACGCUCAUGUGCGAAAGCGUGGGGAGCAAACAGGAUUAGAUACCCUGGUAGUCC
Molecule: ribosomal RNA, 465 nt
Filed under: uncultured bacterium
Lineage: Bacteria
Description: bacterial SSU rRNA
Rfam family: Bacterial small subunit ribosomal RNA
Source: RNAcentral